GGAGAGGUACCCAAGUGGACGAAGGGGCACGCCUGGAGAGCGUGUACCCCGCGCAAGUGGGGUCGAGGGUUCGAAUCCCUCCCUCUCCG
RNAcentral lists this transfer RNA (89 nucleotides) under Candidatus Lindowbacteria bacterium RIFCSPLOWO2_02_FULL_62_12. RNAcentral's name for it is "tRNA-Ser". It matches the Rfam family "tRNA". Rfam says of the family: Transfer RNA (tRNA) molecules are approximately 80 nucleotides in length. RNAcentral also lists the same sequence under 1 other name. The record is from RNAcentral. Lineage: Bacteria; Candidatus Lindowiibacteriota.